UACGAGGGGGGCAAGCGUUGUUCGGAUUUAUUGGGCGUAAAGGGUGCGUAGGCGGUUUGGCAAGUCUUGUGUGAAAUCUUCGGGCUCAACCCGAAGCCUGCAUAAGAAACUGCCGGGCUUGAGUAUUGGAGAGGUGAGUGGAAUUUCCGGUGUAGCGGUGAAAUGCGUAGAUAUCGGAAGGAACACCUGUGGCGAAAGCGGCUCACUGGACAAUAACUGACGCUGAGGCACGAAAGCUAGGGGAGCAAACAG
Molecule: ribosomal RNA, 252 nt
Filed under: uncultured bacterium
Lineage: Bacteria
Description: partial 16S ribosomal RNA
Rfam family: Bacterial small subunit ribosomal RNA
Source: RNAcentral